UUGCUAUCUUAGUGGCGGACGGGUGAGUAACGCGUGGGUAACCUGCCUUACACUGGGGGAUAACACUUAGAAAUAGGUGCUAAUACCGCAUAACAGUAGGAGACGCAUGUCUUUUACUUGAAAACUCCGGUGGUGUAAGAUGGACCCGCGUCUGAUUAGCUUGUUGGCGGGGUAACGGCUCACCAAGGCAACGAUCAGUAGCCGGCCUGAGAGGGUGAACGGCCACAUUGGGACUGAGACACGGCCCAAACUCCUACGGAAGGCAGCAG
RNAcentral lists this ribosomal RNA (269 nucleotides) under uncultured bacterium. RNAcentral's name for it is "partial 16S ribosomal RNA". It matches the Rfam family "Bacterial small subunit ribosomal RNA", at positions 84 to 354 of the family's 1533-position model. The record is from RNAcentral.